GGUGCCGCCCUGAGGAGGCGGGUCCGCCUCGCUUCGGCAGCUGCGCAGCGACUGCGCGGCCGGGGCCGCGCAGAGAGAAUUGGAGAAGAUGUGGGCAAAUUUCGGAGAACCGCUAGAGGCCAGUAGAAGCCUGGAAUGCCGAACCCAGGGACGGUGUAAUCGGAGAGAGCCGUUCGGGAUGUCGACUGCAACCCUUACCAGAAUUGGGAUUUAUGCUAAGGCUGGUAUUUGCUUUGUAGCUUUUUCACAUAAUACAUAAAAAUCAGAACAUGGAAGAAUUACUUUAAUUAUUUUAACACAGCAAUUUCAAAGUGUAGUGCAUGUAUCUAGUGAACGUAAUUAACAGGACUCCCAGUGGGGGGGGGGAGGAGGGGGAGAUAUAAAUGAAUAAGAGUUUAAAGACACCAAAAAAAGUCAGCUUCAGUUUUUUCACUUGCAUUAUUUUUAGUCUUGCUGGUGAUUUUUAUCUUUAUAUUUGUGGUUUCUUUCCUUAAAAAUUAGCCUUUUUUUUUCAAGGUUAACCUAACUAACUAUUCUUAUUUUCAAGCACUUACCCAUUAAAUGGGGUAUAGAAAAUAAUAAUAAUUUAAAAAAUCUUCUACCUACCAUCUUUCUGUCCAGGUCAUUACACUUUUCAAGACCCAUCCAUACAGUCAUCUCACAUGAAACAAAUUUUGCUUAGUCACAGCAAAUACUGACAAGCCUUUUGCCUAAGUGGAGAAACAGCAACAUCCAGUUAAUUCUCACAUAAUCCUUUAGCAGUAACCAGGCAAACACUAACCAUCAGUGAAACCAUGAAUAUGGGCCUUCUAAGAUAAAAUGCCACAAAGAAAUGGGCAGAUUCUGUUUACCCCAGAAGCCAAAGAAACAAGUUACCAAAUGCAUCAAUUAGCAGGUGUACUCAGGAACUCUCUAGGCUGAUGGUACCAAGUCAAAAAACAUACAGGUUUUCCCCUACCUUUCUAAGACUGCAAAAUUUGAAACAUCUGGAAUCAUUUUACUUUCCUUUUUCCCCAUAGCCGCCUUCUUAAAAACUACAUGUGACAUUAAAAUCUUGGUAAAUUUGGUUAAAUAAAUUAAUUUUAAAGGAAACCUCAGCUCCAUAUUUGCAUCAUGUUAAAGUCAGUUAUAGCUUUUGAGGCAGGAAGCAGAGCUGUCAGUUUUCAGACUCGCUGAAGCAAUGAGUGGGAUGAGGCUGUGGCCAGGAGAACAUCACCACCUCCAGAGUUGAGCCUAUUCAUGUCCCAAAUAUCUGCAACUUCAGUGUAUGUGCGCCACUGUAGAUUCAUUCUGCAUCCAGGUAUUGAAUACAUCUUUAAAGCCAGUAUUUUCAAAAGGAGCUGAAGCUGUAAUAGCUGUAAAUCUCUUUUCCAUCUGCUGGGGAAAUCCAAGCCACUUGGGUACUUUUAGUCUUUAAUUUCUUGGUUUACAGGUGCAAUUUCACAUUCUUAGUGGGGACUUCAUAGUGGAGAUAUGGAGAUAAACAUUUGUUUCCCUGAUUGAUUUAGUUAAUAAGCAAAUUAACAGACAGAACUCUUGUAGCUUUUUCCCUAAAAAUGUGUUAUUUGAAAAUACUAAUGCAAACACAGUCAAGUUUAGCACACAGGCCAGUCCAGAAGUUACCAUAAAACUACAUCAACAUCUUUCAGUGGGUUUCCAAACAUCCUGCCAUAGGCUAUGGCUUGCCCUCAGCUCUUGCAGGAGCAAGGUGCUGACUUGCAAGGCUUUGUCUCCUCUUUUUGGCAACCCAUGCAGAGUAGGAGUACUUUGAUGGCAUAUUUAAAAUACUGCAGCUUCCAGCAGGGUGGGCCAAAGGAUCUUGCCACUUAAAGCUGCUCUAGCAAGCGAAACCUUCCUAGAAACCAUGUUAAUAAUGUUGAUAAAUCCAGAUAAACAGCGGCACCAAUUACCUAAGCUGAUUUCACACUGAGAUGUGUACGACUACAUUUCCAAAAGCAAAAGCCAGAUUUUCCAUCCCUGUGAAUCUGCAGCACAGGCUACAAGUUGCCAGAUAAACAUUCACUGGGUUUAGUAAUGACUUUUGUCUCUCAACUCAUCUAAUUUGUUAACAGGAAUAGCAGAUACAAAAUGGGAUUUUCUACAAGCUUUACGUACAUAAGGAAUCCUGAUGACAGAUUAAUGUCAUUCAACCAGACCUCCUCACAUGAUUAGGCCUUGUGCAAUCAGCCACUUCUUUCUUUCCUACUGCUCCAAGCUGAAAAUUAGCAUUGGGAAAGCCCCAGACAACUCAAUUUGAAUAAAGAGAGGUUUGGAACACAUUUCUCGAUGCUUUAAAUCUACCUGGGAAAUUUCAGGAGAAUUGUCACAGCACAGAGCUCCCCAUAGCCAGUUUGCAGAGAUGCAACAUCACACACAGGUUUUUUUCCUAAGGGCAAGGUGUUGAAUUCUUGAGAGAAGUUUCGUUCUCAAAUCAAAGAUCCAUUCUCAAAUUUGCAUAGCACUAUCUCAACUGAAAUUCACCUCUGAGUAUUUUAGAAAAGCAAAUGUCUUACCUUCUCUUCACUGAAACCACUGUUAAUAACAAAACAAUUCCUAGGAUAGGAAAUGGACAGAAUGCUGUUGUUUUAGAAUUAUUUUAUAUAAAACAAGGAAGAUUAGUAUUUUAUAUCAUAUUCAAAUUUUAGCUUGAUCAUUCUUAUUAUGCAAAGAAAAAGGUCAGAAAAAGAUCACUUGUUUUUAAAUACAUUUAAUGUUAUGAAACAUAUUGCCUUUAUUUUGUUUAAAUCCUUGCUAAAUCUUAACAUCAACAAUAAUAAAAGGCUUUUAAAAACCUUUUCUUUAAUCACACAGUGGCCUCAUUGUUUUACUCUAAGGCAGAAAACAGAGUCAUCAUAAAUAAAACACUGACAUGGAAUAUAAGACAAACCCAGGCCAGACAGUUUGCUAAAAAGUUUAUGAAAAGUGCAUCUGGCUGGCUCAGGACUCCCUGAGUAAGGUAGACAUUCUCCCACACACCUCUUGGCUAUUUAGCCACUCAACAAGAAAAUCUGAAAUAAAGGCUGCCUUUCUCAUUUUAAGGGUAUUGCAUUUACAUGCCACUUACUGUGUGAGGUAGGAACCAGUUUCUAGGGGCUGUAUCUGGGCCUCACCUCCUUAUUGUUGCCCCUUCAUUUGCUAUGCAAAAAGAGAUUUAAGUGCAAAUCAAAACUGUAGCUAUGAAAGUGAACUACUGUUUAUUUUCAAUCACAAUUCAUUAGCUGAUUGUAAAGGACACUUUUCAUGAUUUUCACCUUAAAGGACACUUUUCAUGAUUUUCACCUUCAAAGCAAUAAGAGGCACAAAAAGCUAGAUGUAACUUUUUUUUCUUUUUUUUUCCCAAAGGAUGCCUCUGAAAAAUGGGGACUUGAGCACUAGAAGAAAACAGUGUGUUCAGGUUAUCGAAUUCAAAGCUCAAUGAAGUUUCUGUUUUGUAAAUGCACCCGGCCUGGAGUAAAUUCUUAACUGAAAAAUAGCAGCAACUCAAAAGUGCAUAAAUUACAAACUUCAUGAAUAAAUUAAGGAAAUGGAUUUGCUUCAUCUAACUAUCCUAACUGCCCCAAGAUCCUUUUCUUUUUACAAUGACAUGGAAAAUCUGAAUAAAGGUACUACUAAUUUGAAACUAAAACUACUCUAAAAUCUUCAGUAGAUUUCUUUCUGAGAUAAGGCAACUUGUCUUUUACCAAAAUUCAAAAUGUACACAGAAUGACUGGAAGUAGCCCAGUAACAGACAACCCCUCCUACACCACCAAGCCUUAAACAUAGGUUUUUCCAUUCAUAUGUACACUUGUAAUUCAGGGUGUGAGUUUUCUAGAAAUGCCAAACAUCUCAUUCCCAGGGAUUCUGAUUAUUGGAGAGCUUGUACAGUAGGAAGGCUGAGGAGAGGUCCAGUCCUGAGCAGUGGGGGAAGCAGGACGCUUGAGCAGAAUUUUCAGCUGUAGUGGGUGCAGCUGUGGGACUUGCAAUUACAAAGCUGUAAGUCCUGCAUUCAGAGCCUAGGCAGUCCAGUGGCCAUUUGAAGACUACAGACGACAGUACUAGAGUGACAUUUUGGAUCCCCAUAUUGAAGACCUUGGCUCUAGAGGACCCCCUUCCACCAGUUGUCCAUGAGAGGUUGUGCAUAGAGGUAGGAAAAGUGCUUAAUCAAUGUGUAAGGAAUGCAUUUACUCUGAAGUUCUUUAAUACGAAAUUACUCUUCAUCCUCAUAAGACAUAUUCAUAUUCAGGAUCAUAUUCAUCCAUGGCAGAGAUGAAUCCAUCAAUGCAGUAUCAGUAAUCCCUUUCUUUGCAGUGAGACGGUUUCCGCUUGCUGGCAUGCUCUUGGAAAAGUGUGCUGUUUCUUGACCAAAAUAGAUAGUUCCCAGUUCAUCUGUGGUGAAUAUUUAUUCUUCCUUUAGAACAAAUUUAAAUGCCAUAUUUCUUUCUACGGAUUUUGUUCAUGGGGGCACACUUUUUUUUUAAAAAACAGUUUGGGUAGAUCUUGUGUUUCUUCAUCUUAAGCACACUGUGUGUUGAACAGAGUAGAACUAGAAGACAACAGGUACAGAAGCAGCAGCACAAUGUUUUGAUGAAACACUUCCACAAUAGCAACUUCAAGCAUCUUGAACUUCACAGAAUCCACAAAAGCAUUCUUGUUUAAAAUGUGCUUUGCAAUAAGAACAUCAAGCUUUUCUCUUUUCCUUUCCAACCUACUGCAAGGACAGAAAUCCUGCUUUUCCUUAGCUAGAACCUAACCUCAUUCCUGCCAAUCCACUUUUAGUUACCAAGGCCUCAGAGCAAGGUGAGCAUCCAGGUUCUCAGCUGGAGUCAGUGCAGAUGAUAGUCUCUUAACAAGAAUAAUCAUCAAGGGUCCACUUUGCUAGAAACACAGCUGUGACAGCAUUUGCUUCACUGGAGGAGGAAGAUUCAGCUGCAGAUGUUGACCACGGCUGAAGAAAAAUUUCUUCUUUUUUUUUUUUUUUUUUCUUUUCCCCUGGAAAAUGUUUGCUUUUGUAAAGCAGGUAAAUGGGUAGCUUUCAAAUGUAAUUUUAAUAAUGUCAGUUCAUAAUUUCUGGUAAGGGAGAAAGUUUCACAGCUCAAAGAUGAGGCAGACAAUUUCAUACAUUUAGCAUGAAUUCAGAAGGGGUUAGGAUCUCU
This is a non-coding RNA of Cyanistes caeruleus (blue tit), 5132 nucleotides long. The record is from RefSeq and is a predicted model, not a curated record. NCBI's taxonomy places the organism in Eukaryota, Metazoa, Chordata, Aves, Passeriformes, Paridae.